Molecule: microRNA precursor, 91 nt
Filed under: Chlorocebus sabaeus (green monkey)
Lineage: Eukaryota; Metazoa; Chordata; Mammalia; Primates; Cercopithecidae
Description: miRNA (ENSCSAG00000026339.1)
Source: RNAcentral
AAAGGACAUCAAAAUGGGAUAUACACACAUGUAUACACACAUGUCAGCCACAGACAUCUAUACAUAUGUUUUUAUAGAUAUGUGUGUGUAU